RNAcentral lists this ribosomal RNA (484 nucleotides) under uncultured bacterium. RNAcentral's name for it is "partial 16S ribosomal RNA". It matches the Rfam family "Bacterial small subunit ribosomal RNA", at positions 30 to 507 of the family's 1533-position model. The record is from RNAcentral.
AUUGAACGCUGGCGGAAUGCUUUACACAUGCAAGUCGAACGGCCGCACGGGGGCCACCCUGGUGGCGCGUGGCGAACGGGUGAGUAAUACAUCGGAACGUGCCCGGUCGUUGGGGCUAACGUAGCGUCAGUUACGCUGAUACCGCAUCCGAUCUGAUGAUGAACGCCGGGGACCUUCGGGCCUCGCGCGUUCGGCUCGCCCGAUGUCAGAUUAGCUAGUUGGUUGGGUAAAGGCCUACCAAGCCGACGAUCUGUAGCUGAUCUGAGAGGACGACCAGCCACACUGGGACUGAGACACGGCCCAGACUCCUACGGGAGGCAGCAGUAGGGAAUCUUGGACAAUGGGCGCAAGCCUGAUCCAGCCAUUCCGCGUGCAGGACGAAGGCCUUCGGGUUGUAAACUGCUUUUGUAUGGAACGAAAAGGCGCUGGCGAAUACCUGGAGGUCAUGACGGUACCGUAAGAAUAAGCACCGGCUAACUACGUG